Molecule: long non-coding RNA, 2373 nt
Organism: Mercenaria mercenaria
Lineage: Eukaryota; Metazoa; Mollusca; Bivalvia; Venerida; Veneridae
Exons: 3
Source: RefSeq, a predicted model, not a curated record
AUUUUAAGCCUGUAUAACUUUGAACUUCCAAAAAUGAAGAUGUCCUUAUUUUUAGCUUUGGCUGGAAGCCAUAUCUUUUGCCAGUGGAGAUGACCAUAUUGUAUAUCCGGGGCGGAGAGUAAGGUCGGGACAGAGACGAUCGGCGAAUACAGAACGCGACAAAGUUGACAGAAGACUUACGGAAAUAUGGGUAGCUCAAGCAGCACAGUGAUUACCACGGAUUUUCUGAUCCGAGAAGUUCGAAGUGUGCGAUCGAGUUUGUCGGACCGUGACAGACGACUUUUCAAUCACGCAAAAUUUGCCAUCGCACAGGAGACAGAAAAGUGUAACGACUGUGAACUAUUUAUAGAUUUUGAGGACCAAGAUGGCAUUACUAUAAAAACUAACAGUAAUCCAUCUGGCAGAAUAUUUGUCGGAUAUGAUGAGAACGAUAAACCGAACUACGUUUGGGAAAGACGUGGCUUUUGGCGCGCAGCAAAGAAAUUUUUUGUCGAUAGCUUCCACACAUUAUUACAUGCUGUAAAAAACGCCGUACCGGCAAUCGGUGCGGCUGUUGGAAUGCGAGCCAUUUCAUUCUACUGAAAGACGUUUCGUUUACUGAAGCCUACCAUUUCCAAUCGUUAUAUUUAUGAAAAUAAAUUUUAUAUUCGGUUUCCUCUGGUCGAUUUGACCAAAUGCAAAUGAAGACCUUACCGAGCCAAACAUUCAACGAAAUUAGAAACUCUAUCCAAGCAAUAAUAAAUAAAUAUAUGCAAAUCAAUAACAUUUGGCACGAUAAUUGCUGCGACAACCAUACCUUCAAUAUGACAUAAACAAAAAGAUCCCAUUGUAAAGGCAAUGCUGAAAGAACUUGCUACAGCAUGGACAUAUUAAAAAAAUGAAUAUUUUGAUUAAUAUUUUUGUUAUAUGAUAAACUUUUACGUUUAACAUUCAGUGUUAAGUUUUAAAAUCAUUCAUGCGUGAAAUAAAAUAAAAGCUUUAGUGCUAACACCACGAUUUCUAUAAUUAACAGCGUUGAAUAUUAAUUUAAGUCUAAAGUUAUUUAAAAUUGUAAUUUAAAAGUAUUUCAGUGAGAAUAGACAAAAUAAACAAAUUUAGAAAAACACUGGGGCGUCACCUUAGAAUGACUAUUGGCAAAACACCAGUUUAAAUCGAUUAAUAGUUCACGGAGCCUCAGUCCCCACCAUUGGCAUUUACAGUUUUGUAAAAAGAGCGUCAUAUCAGCUGGAAUUUUGCUCACCAUAAGACGACCAUCUCUGUUGCUCAUAUUUUAGCUCAACUGUUCGAAUAAUAGGUAGAGCUAUUGGACUGUGAGUUGGCGUAGGCGUCCCGAUUCGGUCAAGUGUUUGCGUGUAAGCGGAUAUCUCAGUAACCACUUGUGGAGAUGGAUUAAACUUCGCACAUUUAUUCACUGUGAUAAACUGAUUUAAAUGCACCGAGUUCCAUGACUCUACUUUGCUUUUUAAAAAGAAUUUUGCCUCUUUUUCGACUUAGCCAUCUUUAGCUUAGUUUUUGAACAUUGUAUGUAAACUGAUAGCUCAGUACCCACUGAUGGGAAUGGAUUGAAACUUUACACACUUUUCCACUGUGCUAAGCUGACGUGCAUUUUAAGGGUUUAUAACUCUGUUAAGCAGUUUUUACAAAAUUACGCCAUUUUUUUUAUUUCAUUAUGCCCCUUUUUGACUUUUGACGAGGCUGUUGAAUAGUCGAGCGUUGCUGUACUCUGAACAGCUCUUGUUAAUAAUUUGUUCUAUAUAUUACGUAUCCAGAUACGAAAAAUUUGAUUGCGUAAGUUCCAUUUCUUGACUUUUAGAUGCAAAAACCUUUUAAAAUAAAUAUUUGCUAAAUUUUAUGUCUGUGAUAGUGUGUGUAAUAAUAAUAGAGUAUUUCUGUUAUAUGAGUGUUGUGUACUGUUACAAUAGAAGUGUGUGUUUUACUUUUUUGCUGGCACAUGAUGUUUUUAUAUGAAACAGUCAAUUUAAUAGCUUUUAGUGGAUUUAAAUUCGUUCCGUAAGAGACAAUAGCUUUUCUGUAUUUUAUAUUCAUUUUGUUACAUCGAGUGUGCUUGUAGAUAAUCACGAACGUUAAAAAAACUGUCAUAAAUGCUGUUAGAUCUAUAAACAUAACAUACGUUUUGUGAGUACAUGUUUUGAUUUUUCUACUUUGAAUAUGAAUAAGAAAACAAUCUGACCAGACCAAGCCAGAAGCAAGUACAAUGUAUGCCUGAGGAACAUUACAAUAUAUCAUGAUAUGAAUUAUUAUCUAUCUAUAUAUCUGUCUGAUACAGCUAGCUCUUUUACUCUCUAUUUAUGUAAGUUAAAGAAACUCUUUUGAUUGUAAAACAGUCAGAAAAUAAAAUUUACAUUUUUUUCA